AAAAACAUCCUAAGGAAGACCUAGGGCGAUGACUAGAAGCGUCCUUUAGGAGACGUAGCCCGCAAAGCAGCGUACUAAGGAAAACGCAGGGUGUGCCAGAAAUUUCUUAAAAGGAGAUUACCAUGCUUCCUGCGAGAAGUAUCCAGGUUGCUAUUUGUUUCCUAAGGGGGGUUAGGAUAGUUAAACAGUUGCCCAUAAAAAGAGUCCUAAGGGAGAGACGCAAGACGACGACCAGAAACAUCCUUCGGGAGAUGCAUCCCACAAAGCAGCGUCCUAAAGGAGCCGCAAGGUGCG
RNAcentral lists this long non-coding RNA (294 nucleotides) under Prunus persica (peach). RNAcentral's name for it is "long non-coding RNA (PPER_LNC000851)". Lineage: Eukaryota; Viridiplantae; Streptophyta; Magnoliopsida; Rosales; Rosaceae. The record is from RNAcentral.